CCUAAGUGCAGUUUUAGCACUGUUCAUGUCCAACGUUUGAUCAUUCGUCUUAUAUAAAAAAAAGAUUAUGAUUAGUAUUUUUAUUUUUAUUAGAUAUAAAACAUGAAUAGUACUUUAUGUGUGACUAAUUUUUUUAAUAUUUCUCAUAAAAUUUUUAAAUUAGAUGGAUGGUCAAAUCGCUUAGCACGUAUAUGUAUGGACGGAGGUAGU
RNAcentral lists this microRNA precursor (210 nucleotides) under Oryza rufipogon (brownbeard rice). Its description in RNAcentral is "MIR812 microRNA precursor family". It matches the Rfam family "MIR812 microRNA precursor family". Lineage: Eukaryota; Viridiplantae; Streptophyta; Magnoliopsida; Poales; Poaceae. The record is from Rfam by way of RNAcentral.